RNAcentral lists this unclassified non-coding RNA (516 nucleotides) under Hevea brasiliensis (rubber tree). Lineage: Eukaryota; Viridiplantae; Streptophyta; Magnoliopsida; Malpighiales; Euphorbiaceae. The record is from RNAcentral.
GAGAUUCACAAUAGUAAAAAAGAAAGGAGGCCAGAGGAGCAGAGAUAGCUCGGCUCUUGACCUUGGUAGGUAGAUCGUAGAUUCUUGCUCGCUUGCUCGCUCUCUGCUCUCUCUUCUUCUUCUUCUUCUUCUUCUUCUUCUUCUUCACAACCUGUCUCUCUGCUUUCUUCACACCUCCUUGUCGUUUCCACAAAUUCCCACAAAUUUCAGAAUUCCCAACUUAAAAAAGAAACCAAGAAGCCGACACGCCUCCUCUUUCUUUCCUUAUCCUCCUUUUACUCUCUGUCUGGAUCUGCCACUUCUGAGCCUGUUUCGUCGUCCCUUCGAUGCGUUUCUUUGUAAAACUCGUGACUUUUGGUGAGCGCUUGAGGGAAAGUAACACUUUUGAUGAGCGCUUGAGGGAUAGUAAUACUUUUGACUGACGCAUAAUUCAGCAGUUCCUCCUUAUCAUGUCUGAUCGGGUUGUAAAAUCAGAAAAUGACAAGGACAAAAUUCCUGAAAAGUGCUUGCAGCCCC